AUUUGAAUAGUUUAUUUAAAAUAAUAAUUUGUGAUUUUAUAGAUGUAAUUUAUUGCUUCAAAUA
Molecule: transfer RNA, 64 nt
Filed under: Distenia punctulatoides
Lineage: Eukaryota; Metazoa; Arthropoda; Insecta; Coleoptera; Cerambycidae
Description: tRNA-His
Source: RNAcentral